RNAcentral lists this RNase P RNA (523 nucleotides) under Deltaproteobacteria bacterium RBG_19FT_COMBO_46_12. RNAcentral describes it as "RNase P RNA component class A". It matches the Rfam family "Bacterial RNase P class A". Rfam says of the family: Ribonuclease P (RNase P) is a ubiquitous endoribonuclease, found in archaea, bacteria and eukarya as well as chloroplasts and mitochondria. Its best characterised activity is the generation of mature 5'-ends of tRNAs by cleaving the 5'-leader elements of precursor-tRNAs. Cellular RNase Ps are ribonucleoproteins. Lineage: Bacteria; Deltaproteobacteria. The record is from RNAcentral.
CGAAGGGGAACAGAUGGUCGCUCCUCCUGAUAUCUCGCAGAGCGGGAGAUCGGGGAGGGGAGGAAAGUCCGAGCUCCACAGGGCAGGGUGGUCCGUAACACGGACUGCCCCCCGUGAAAUGGGCAUCGCCGCCAUUUCACGGGGGAAAAGGAAAGUGCCACAGAAAACAUACCGCCCUGUGAAGGUGGCUUUGCCGCCACUUCACAGGGUAAGGGUGAAAAGGUGAGGUAAGAGCUUACCAGUACCCUGAGCGAUUGGGGUAGCUUGGUAAACCCCAUCCGGAGCAAGACCAAAUAGGUUCCGCUUUCCCCCUAUGGAAUAGGCUUAGCCGCCGUUCCACAGGGGGGAUAAGAAUUGCCCAUUCAAAUUUGUCUCGAGGCAAUUGCAGCGAGAUAAAGGCGGGACGGGUAAGGUCGCUUGAGACCCUGAGCAAUCAGGGCCCUAGAUAAAUGGCCAUCCUCCUGAUUUUCGCUGAAAGGCGGGAAUGGGAUGACAGAACUCGGCUUACAGUCCUCUUCGAAUA